Molecule: long non-coding RNA, 576 nt
Organism: Arachis duranensis
Lineage: Eukaryota; Viridiplantae; Streptophyta; Magnoliopsida; Fabales; Fabaceae
Exons: 4
Source: RefSeq, a predicted model, not a curated record
GCGGUGCCAUCUCAUGAGGUCUCCUCAUCGUCUUCUUCCUCCCACGGAAACCACCGCCUACUCCACCCGCUCUGGCCAGCUCACGGAGGAAGAAGCAAAUCAGAUUUGUUUCAAAGAGAGAAAGAAAUCGAGUGCUCCACACACACUCUGUCCUAUCAUACGAACCUCUCUCUCUCUCUAAUACCGUCAUAAAAGUCUUUCAAUUAAGUUUUCGAGCACGGAUCGUGGAACCUUCUCGAAGCCUCUUCCCUCUUACUAUUCUAAUUUUGCAAAGACCUUGAUUAUUCCACCAUGCCUAUUGUUCAAUUAUUUACAUGUUGGCUGGCACAGUAAAAUUGUCACAUGGAAAACAGGGAGUUAGAAGUACUACUUGAUAAUUUGGGGAUCAAAAGAGAGAUUGCAGGAGAUUUCAUAUUGGAUAAUGUUGAGCACUAUAUGAAGUUUUAAUUAACCUCAUUCGAGAGUCUUAGCUACUUGUAAUUGCAUAAGUUAUCAUACCGGAAAUAUAUUAAUUUAUGAAUCACAAACUAUUUGUAAUUGUUCACUAAAUCUUAUAAAAGAAGUUUGGUUUUAAUU